This 779-nucleotide long non-coding RNA is filed under the name Homo sapiens (human). RNAcentral's name for it is "HSALNT0356170". The record is from RNAcentral. Lineage: Eukaryota; Metazoa; Chordata; Mammalia; Primates; Hominidae.
GCUGCAAUGCUUCUGAGAGGAAGGGAGAUUUUCAAAGAGCCUUUGUCAGCCCAGGAGUGAGUGAGUUAAUCCAUCCACCUGCCCCAACUGAGAGCAGAAGACACUGUUUAUAGGACUGAAGACAGAGGUGCUGGGUGCAAGGACUGAGACUAAGAAUGGAAAUGCGAGAACCAGGAUUCAGGGGCUGGAGUGCAGUGGCACGAUCUCAGCUCACCGCAACCUCCACCUCCCAGGUUCAAGUGAUUCUCCUGCCUCAGCCUCCCGAGUAGCUGGGAUUACAGGCACCCGCUAACAUGCCCUUCUAACCCAGUGUUCAACUCCCCGCAAAACUUUCCCAGAGCCAUCUGAAGCCCACGGCAUUCUGUUCCAAGAUGAGUUAAAUGAGAAGCAAAGGCUGUAAACGACUAAUGCAGUCUAUGUAACUAGAAAUAAAUUACUGUCUAUGUGUAAACUAUUCUUUCCUGAUCAGCUCUACCAAUGUGUUACCCAGAAAAAUAGUUUAAUCAGUCAAUCUCUCUUCCUCUUGGGUACUAGUGAUAGACUAUAUUGGGCAAAAUUCAAAUGACUAAGAGCAAAAGGAGAGAAGCAAAUAUGUAUUGAUCAGGGUAUUACCAUUUACAGACAAUCCCUUACUCACAGGAGUGAACAUUCACUGAGGCUAUGCUAAGCCAGAUGUUGCUAUCUGUGUAGGAUUUCAUUCUGUGACCAGACAGCUCUACCUGGAGGGACUAGUGUCAAACCCAUUUUAAAGAUGGGAAAACUGAAGCUCAGGAUGUUGA